Long non-coding RNA from Peromyscus maniculatus bairdii (prairie deer mouse), 3045 nucleotides. RefSeq lists it as uncharacterized. NCBI's taxonomy places the organism in Eukaryota, Metazoa, Chordata, Mammalia, Rodentia, Cricetidae. The record is from RefSeq and is a predicted model, not a curated record.
CUAGCACCCAGCGCGUCCCGGCCAUGGGCUCCGGAGGCGGCGCGGGGCCCGGAGGUGGCCGCUGUGGCGCGAGCCGAGGGGAAGUGGAAUCCAGGGCGGGGGAGGGGGCUCCGCGCACAUGCGCCGCGCGCACCAGGGCGCUGAGACCGGAGUCCCGGAGGUGGAGGAGAGCGGCCGGCUCCGCCUGGGCUCCGCCCUGGGGGCGGGGCUGCCUGGCGGGUAGGGGUGCGGACCGGGUGCGGACGGGGUGACCUGAGAGCCUCUGGAGUAGAAUCAGAUCUAGGCCCUCCUGCUCAAGUUCUCAGGCUGGGGACUAGAGAUGCCUCCCAAACCCCAGGUAAGAAAUCAUCGACCGAGGUAUAUACUCGCAGCCAGAUCUAUUAAAUGUUUCUUUUUCCAUUGCAUUUAUUUAUUUAUUGUGUAAUAAUAAAUACACAAUAUUUAUUAUUAUUGUUGCAGGUACCAUGGCCCCAGUGUGGUGGCCAGAAGAUAGCUCAGGGGUCAGUUCCCUCCUUCUGUGUAGGUCACUGGGAUGGAAUUCCGGUAGUCGGGCUUGGCAGCAAGGGUUCUAUCCACCCAGUCAUCACAGCUCCUAUAAACUUUCCUUUCCAGAAAGAAGAUGGGCAGUCCCUUCAUUGCAGAUUAUCAGCCCAAGGGAAAACCUGCAGAGUUAUUGAAGAUUCUCCUUCUCCUCCUUUUCCCUUUUUGUGUCUCUGUGUGUGCUUGUGCAGGCCAGAGGGCGACAUCGAGUGUCAUUCUGUCACUCUCGGCCUAUGUUUUAGACAGGGCCUCUCACUGAACGUGGAGCUCACCGCGUCCACUGGCUUGGCUGUCCAGCAGGACUCCCCAGAUGUGUCUCUCUACCUCCCCACACUGGGGUUAUGGAUGUAUACUAAUUAAUGUACAUGGCUUUUACACUGUGCUAGAGAAAGGAACCUAAGUCAUUGUUUCACACAGCACUUUACAGAAAUCCAUCUGCCUCCUGAGUGCUGGGAUUAAAGGCGUGUGCAGCAGCAGCAGCAGCAGCAGCAGCAGCCGCCGCCGCCGCCGCCGCCGCCGCCGCCGCCGCCACCCAGCUUUCCUCUUUUUUUUUUUUGUUAUUGUUGUUGUUUUGUUUUGUUCAGUAGCUGCAACAAUCAUUCAAAAUGUAUUAGUCAAAAUUGCCAAAACCCACAGUACAUAAAAGGAUAACUUGUAGCUUUUUUGUAUGUUUGUUUUUGAGACAAUGUGUUACUAUGUAGCCCUGGUUGUCCUGGAACUCACUAUGUAGACCAGUCUAGCCUUGAACUCACAGAGAUCUCCUGCCUCUGCCUCCCGGGUGCUGGGGAUUAGUCAGGAGUAAAACCAAAAUUCUAAUAGAAAACUCCUUUUUACAUAGAGGAAGUUGGAAGGGUUGUAAAGGAGAAAAGAAGCUGGAGAAUUAUUCAUUUGGCUAACAAACAUGCACUGUUAUUUUUCUGUUCCACGUAGAGUGCUAUAUAUGCCUCGUACAUUCAGAGAUGUCAUGGGCUUUCAGGUGAACUAGAGUGAUGUGUACUUUACCAGGCAGUGGUGGCGCACACCUUUAGUCCCAGCUCUCGGGAGGCAGAGCCAGGUGGAUCUCUGUGAGUUUGAGGCCAGCCUGGUCUACAGAGCAAGAUCCAGGAGAGGCAUAAAAACAACACAGAGAAACCCUGUGUGGGGGGGGGGGCAAAAAGUGCUGUUUACUUGGGUUUAUGUAUAAUAACGUUUUGGAACAUUGUAGCACUGCCAGCAGGGUGGCACAUGCUUUUAAUCCCAGCACUUGGGAGGCAGAAGCAGGAGAGCUCUGUAGGUUGGAGGGCAGCCUGGUCUACAUAGUCAACCAGGACUGCCACAGAGCAAUUCUGUCUCGGAAAUAAGGAAACAUAUUAUUUAAAACUCCACUAUAAAUGGCUGUGUGUGUUCUGUUUGGAUUACAUCUGGUGCUAUUCGAGUGAUGUUGGGAAGGGUUUAGUCGAUAAGGACUAAGUAACGCGGAGAAGCCAGGCAGGCUUGAUGUACGAUGAGUUCCAAGGAAGGUAAAACGGCAAGCGUCAAAGCUCAGGUACAGAGAUUGCUUCAGAGAGCAGAGAGCACUGCUGUUUAUCUGUAAGUUAAUCAUAAAACGCUGUUUUCCGGUUCUGUUGUAGCGAUCUCUUAGGCAUAGCGCUGGCGGGUUGUCAACCGACUUCCUUGAUGGCUUUUCAGGUAAAGCUGGUCUACAUUGCUGGAAACACUAGUUGGGGGAGAGUACGGAGAAAAGCCGUCAAGCCUUCACAGCUCUGCAGAAGACAUUACUAUGAGCUGGGGGGAGCUAGAAGGGGGCAAUUGCUCUCGUUGCUAAUAAAGGAAGAGUUCAUUUUAUUAUCUGUGCCCUUCCAUUGUGAGAGGUGAGCAUGCGCUUCCUCUGAUGUGUAAUGAAGCCGAAUUCAUCUCAAAGGACCCCCCCACACACACCCCUCUUUGCAUUUGAAAGGAACUAAAAAUCGUGAGCCACACAUGGCAGCGAGCCCGGGGUGGCAGAGGGAAUUGCAGUCAUGCAGCACCAUAAAGAAAUGGUGCCCAUUUGUGUGACCUUGGGUUGAGGUGCGAGGCCACAUCCAAGAUUAAAGGAAGUUUAUUAGGUUGAGUGGAUGCAAAGGAGCUUGAAGAAUUGGGGCUCCCAGUUAUUUCCAGGAACAGACAAAGAACCAGCUUUGUUACCGCCAUCGCUCCCCGUUCCUUUUAUCCGAGAGGAAACCUGGCCCUCUAGAGUUACGAACGCAGACUCGGCAAUGACGCGAGCCUUGCUUCAGCGGUUGGCUUCCACUCGCGACGAAGAAAUCUACACCAAGCAGUUUUUGUCUCUCACAUGGAUUCCGUCUGUGAAGGAAGAAAAUAUACUUACUUAUGAUUGACAGCUGACAAAGUAGUACAUUUCCAAAUGCUGCCACAUCUCCUCUGGUUAAAAUUGAACCAGGCCCUCUGGGAAAGACAGCAGUUGGUUACUUAUUUGAAUGAAAUGUUCUGUCAAGAAAGGAUAGUUUCAAUAAAAAGUAAACCAGA